UGAACGACUCUCGGCAACGGAUAUCUCGGCUCUCGCAUCGAUGAAGAACGUAGCGAAAUGCGAUACUUGGUGUGAAUUGCAGAAUCCCGUGAACCAUCGAGUCUUUGAACGCAAGUUGCGCCCGAAGCCUUCUGGCUGAGGGCACGCCUGCCUGGGCGUCACGCA
RNAcentral lists this ribosomal RNA (165 nucleotides) under Veronica decora. Its description in RNAcentral is "5.8S ribosomal RNA". It matches the Rfam family "5.8S ribosomal RNA". From Rfam's summary of the family: 5.8S ribosomal RNA (5.8S rRNA) is a component of the large subunit of the eukaryotic ribosome. It is transcribed by RNA polymerase I as part of the 45S precursor that also contains 18S and 28S rRNA. Functionally, it is thought that 5.8S rRNA may be involved in ribosome translocation. Lineage: Eukaryota; Viridiplantae; Streptophyta; Magnoliopsida; Lamiales; Plantaginaceae. The record is from RNAcentral.